GAUGAACGCUGGCGGCGUGCCUAAUACAUGCAAGUCGAGCGAACGGACGAGAAGCUUGCUUCUCUGAUGUUAGCGGCGGACGGGUGAGUAACACGUGGAUAACCUACCUAUAAGACUGGGAUAACUUCGGGAAACCGGAGCUAAUACCGGAUGAUAUUUUGAACCGCAUGGUUCAAAAGUGAAAGACGGUCUUGCUGUCACUUAUAGAUGGAUCCGCGCUGCAUUAGCUAGUUGGUAAGGUAACGGCUCACCAAGGCAACGAUGCAUAGCCGACCUGAGAGGGGGAUCGGCCACACUGGAACUGAGACACGGUCCAGACUCCUACGGGAGGCAGCAGUAGGGAAUCUUCCGCAAUGGGCGAAAGCCUGACGGAGCAACGCCGCGUGAGUGAUGAAGGUCUUCGGAUCGUAAAACUCUGUUAUUAGGGAAGAACAUAUGUGUAAGUAACUGUGCACAUCUUGACGGUACCUAAUCAGAAAGCCACGGCUAACUACGUG
RNAcentral lists this ribosomal RNA (497 nucleotides) under uncultured bacterium. RNAcentral describes it as "partial 16S ribosomal RNA". It matches the Rfam family "Bacterial small subunit ribosomal RNA", at positions 28 to 507 of the family's 1533-position model. The record is from RNAcentral.